GAUGAACGCUGGCGGCGUGCCUAAUACAUGCAAGUCGAGCGAACGGACGAGAAGCUUGCUUCUCUGAUGUUAGCGGCGGACGGGUGAGUAACACGUGGAUAACCUACCUAUAAGACUGGGAUAACUUCGGGAAACCGGAGCUAAUACCGGAUAAUAUUUUGAACCGCAUGGUUCAAAAGUGAAAGACGGUCUUGCUGUCACUUAUAGAUGGAUCCGCGCUGCAUUAGCUAGUUGGUAAGGUAACGGCUUACCAAGGCAACGAUGCAUAGCCGACCUGAGAGGGGGAUCGCCCACACUGGAACUGAGACACGGUCCAGACUCCUGCGGGAGGCAGCAGUAGGGAAUCUUCCGCAAUGGUGGAAAGCCUGACGGAGCAACGCCGCGUGAGUGAUGAAGGUCUUCGGAUCGUAAAACUCUGUUAUUAGGGAAGAACAUAUGUGUAAGUAACUGUGCACAGCUUGACGGUACCUAGUCAGAAAGCCACGGCUAACUACGUG
Molecule: ribosomal RNA, 497 nt
Filed under: uncultured bacterium
Lineage: Bacteria
Description: partial 16S ribosomal RNA
Rfam family: Bacterial small subunit ribosomal RNA
Source: RNAcentral